GACGUAGGGUGCAAGCGUUGUCCGGAUUUACUGGGCGUAAAGAGCGCGUAGGCGGUCUGUUAAGUGUGAAGUGAAAUCUCCAGGGCUCAACCCGGAAACUGCUUUACAUACUGGCAGACUUGAGGAGUGCAGAGGUUAGUGGAAUUCCUGGUGUAGCGGUGAAAUGCGUAGAUAUCAGGAGGAACACCGAUGGCGAAGGCAGCUAACUGGGCACUAUCUGACGCUGAGGCGCGAAAGCGUGGGGAGCAAACAGGAUUAGAUACCCUGGUAGUCCACGCCCUAAACGAUGGAUACUAGGCGUAAGAGGUAUUGAUCCCUCUUGUGCCGCAGCUAACGCACUAAGUAUCCCGCCUGGGGAGUACGGCCGCAAGGUUGAA
Molecule: ribosomal RNA, 377 nt
Filed under: uncultured bacterium
Lineage: Bacteria
Description: bacterial SSU rRNA
Rfam family: Bacterial small subunit ribosomal RNA
Source: RNAcentral